Molecule: ribosomal RNA, 809 nt
Filed under: uncultured bacterium
Lineage: Bacteria
Description: bacterial SSU rRNA
Rfam family: Bacterial small subunit ribosomal RNA
Source: RNAcentral
ACACAUGCAGUCGAACGGCAGCAUGGGCUUCGGCCUGAUGGCGAGUGGCGGACGGGUGAGUAAAGCGUAGGAACCUAUCCUUUUGUGGGGGACAACCCAGGGAAACUUGGGCUAAUACCGCAUAAGUCCUGAGGGAGAAAGCGGGGGAUCUUCGGACCUCGUGCUGAAGGAGGGGCCUACGUCCGAUUAGCUAGUUGGUAGGGUAAAGGCCUACCAAGGCGACGAUCGGUAGCUGGUCUGAGAGGACGAUCAGCCACACUGGGACUGAGACACGGCCCAGACUCCUACGGGAGGCAGCAGUGGGGAAUUUUUCGCAAUGGGGGCAACCCUGACGAAGCAAUGCCGCGUGAAUGAAGAAGGCCUUCGGGUUGUAAAGUUCUUUCGUGGGGGACGAGAAGGUGGAUCCUAAUAUGGUCUGCUGUUGACGUGAACCCAAGAAGAAGCACCGGCUAACUCCGUGCCAGCAGCCGCGGUAAUACGGAGGGUGCGAGCGUUAAUCGGAAUUACUGGGCGUAAAGGGCGCGUAGGCGGUUGGUUACGUCUGCCGUGAAAUCCCCGGGCUCAACCUGGGAAUGGCGGUGGAAACGGGCUGACUAGAGUAUGGGAGAGGGUGAUGGAAUUCCAGGUGUAGCGGUGAAAUGCGUAGAGAUCUGGAUGAACAUCAGUGGCGAAUGCGGUCACCUGGCCCAAUACUGACGCUGAAGCGCGAAAGCGUGGGGAGCAAACACGAAUUAGAUACCCUGGUAAUCCUCGCCCUUAAACGAAGGAUACUAGAUGUUUGGUGGCCUUAGUGCUGAGUGGUCGUACCU